Molecule: long non-coding RNA, 392 nt
Filed under: Phasianus colchicus (ring-necked pheasant)
Lineage: Eukaryota; Metazoa; Chordata; Aves; Galliformes; Phasianidae
Description: lncRNA (ENSPCLG00000011626.1)
Source: RNAcentral
AUCGCGGGGCCGGACGCGGACGCGGACGCGGGCGCGGCGGCUGUGGUCCGGCCCCGUGCUCUCGGCCGGCCGCGGGGCCGGGCACGGAGCCGGAGCGGCGGGCGGAGGCGAGCGGGGAGGCUCGGAGGCGGAGCUGGGCCGCGGGGGAGCGUCUGUGUGCGCCGUGCGGGGAGAAGAGCAGAGCAGAGCCGAGCCGUUCGGCUCGUGGGGAGGCGUGCCGUGCUGCCACACGGGAGGGUAACUCGGUCCUUUGUUACGGGGAGACCGCAAGGACACCCAGCUGGGCGCUGCUGGAUUGCUGCAACCUGCCAGGAAAGCACAACUGAAGCGCCGUCCGGCAGCAUGGUGAACGAGCGGCGCGAGGGCGGGCUGCUGGUGCACCUGGGCCCCCA